RNAcentral lists this ribosomal RNA (864 nucleotides) under Streptomyces sp. RNAcentral describes it as "bacterial SSU rRNA". It matches the Rfam family "Bacterial small subunit ribosomal RNA", at positions 619 to 1460 of the family's 1533-position model. Lineage: Bacteria; Bacillati; Actinomycetota; Actinomycetes; Kitasatosporales; Streptomycetaceae. The record is from RNAcentral.
GUUAGCAGUCGAUAUCGGGCAAGGCUUAAGUUCGGUAUGGGGGGAUUGGAAAUUCCUGCGGUUAGGGGUGAAAUGCGCGGUAUUCAGGAGGAACUCCCGGUGCGGAAAGGCGGCAUCUUUGGGCCGGUUCUGCGGCUUAGGAGUGGAAAGCGGGGGGGAGGGAUCCAGGAUUAGAUCCCCAGGUAGUCCACCCCGUAAACGGUGGGCACUAGGUGUGGGCGACAUUCCACGUCGUCCGUGCCGCAGCUAACGCAUUAAGUGCCCAGCAUUGUGUAGUACGGCCGCAAGCCUAAAACUCAUAGGAAUUGCCGGGGGCCCGCACAAGCGGCGGAGCAUGUGGCUUAAUUCGACGCAAACGUGAAGAACCUUACCAAGGCUUGACAUACACCGGAAACGUCCAGAGAUGGGCGCCCCCUUGUGGUCGGUGUACAGGUGGUGCAUGGCUGUCGUCAGCUCGUGUCGUGAGAUGUUGGGUUAAGUCCCGCAACGAGCGCAACCCUUGUCCCGUGUUGCCAGCAGGCCCUUGUGGUGCUGGGGACUCACGGGAGACCGCCGGGGUCAACUCGGAGGAAGGUGGGGACGACGUCAAGUCAUCAUGCCCCUUAUGUCUUGGGCUGCACACGUGCUACAAUGGCCGGUACAAUGAGCUGCGAUACCGCGAGGUGGAGCGAAUCUCAAAAAGCCGGUCUCAGUUCGGAUUGGGGUCUGCAACUCGACCCCAUGAAGUCGGAGUCGCUAGUAAUCGCAGAUCAGCAUUGCUGCGGUGAAUACGUUCCCGGGCCUUGUACACACCGCCCGUCACGUCACGAAAGUCGGUAACACCCGAAGCCGGUGGCCCAACCCCUUGUGGAGGGAGCUGUUCGA